UUUUCCUUUUCACUGAUAUCUCCUUCUCUUCUUGUUGAAGAUUCAAUCAAGGAUUUCAACUUCAACACUCCCUCUUGAAUCCUUGAUUGAAAACUCCCUCUUUCUAUUUAGGGAUUUGAUUCCCAUUGCUCAUUGUUCAUCUUUAACCGGACUCAGACUUUCUUUUCUUCAUCGGCAAAAGUAACCACUUCUCAUUCUUCUUCUCCGACGAGCAUCAGUCUCUCCGCCGAUCUCCCUCUCCGACAAAACUGAAUCUUCAAGUUCGUCGCUGCUUGUGAAUGGAACCACCGCCUUGGCGCCUCCUCCAUUUUGUACGCCGGCUCUGCUCCCUCUUAAAUUUGAAUCUCUAUGGAUCCAUCUUCAUUUUUCUUUGCGAAUAUUUUUGCCAUCUUUUGGCUGAUUUUCUUCACAAUCUUCCUCUGUUUUGUGAGCUUUCCUCACUUCUCCACCAGCUGCUUCUGCAACCAGCUUCUGCUCACUUUUGUUGAGCUACUUCUUCUUCUCUGAUUUUCCAACUUUGGUGAUGACAACUCUUCUUUAUCCUCAUCUUUCUUCUCCUUCUUCUUUUUCUUCUCUUUCUUCUCAGACCCGAUCUUCUUCUCGUCAUUACCGUGAGCAUCCGUCACGUCUUCAUCGGCUUAAUUCUCCAGCCAGCUUCUGCUCCCUUUCUCUCUUAGGUAAGCAGGCUUUCUUCUUCUGCUUGGUUUCUGCUUUGAUCACCAGCUUGUGCCUUUCAGAUCUUUGAAUCAUCACCUUGAUUUUCU
This 764-nucleotide long non-coding RNA is filed under the name Eutrema salsugineum. Its description in RNAcentral is "long non-coding RNA (ESAL_LNC001186)". Lineage: Eukaryota; Viridiplantae; Streptophyta; Magnoliopsida; Brassicales; Brassicaceae. The record is from RNAcentral.